Comamonas testosteroni CNB-2 is the source of this 71-nucleotide non-coding RNA. NCBI's taxonomy places the organism in Bacteria, Pseudomonadati, Pseudomonadota, Betaproteobacteria, Burkholderiales, Comamonadaceae. The record is from Rfam.
GGCGCGAUAGCAAAGCGGUUAUGCCCCGGAUUGCAAAUCCGGUUAGACCAGUUCGACUCUGGUUCGCGCCU